Long non-coding RNA from Lolium rigidum, 511 nucleotides. RefSeq lists it as uncharacterized. NCBI's taxonomy places the organism in Eukaryota, Viridiplantae, Streptophyta, Magnoliopsida, Poales, Poaceae. The transcript is spliced from 2 exons. The record is from RefSeq and is a predicted model, not a curated record.
CAUCAUGUUAUUAUUUUUGCUUUUAUCCACCAUUUGGCUUAUCCACCUGUGCUAAUCUAGAGUGUCUUUCCGUUAUAGAGAACAAGCUUGUGAACUUCAGGCGUUGUAUAUCUCUCCAAACCGCAGGAUGUAGAUUCAGAACACUUUGAGACAUCACCUCUUUAUGCCAAAGGGAAUUGAUGAUGAUGUGACAACAUGAAGCUAACAAGGUCUAGCAGAUAAUUAUAAUGCAGUGACGAGUGAAAAUGAGAGAGCACUACCAGAGAAAUGCUACAUAGCUUUUUAAGUGGCAUUAUGUUAGUUUAGUUUGAGCGCAAGUGUAAAAGUAUGUCUUUCUCACAUCCUUAAAAACGUUAAAAAAAAGAGCCCUUCACUGAUGCUUCUUGUGUGUAUGAGUGUCUCCUCCGGUUUUACUUACGAUUGUAGACUUAGCAUAUUCACUACUAUAGAACAAUCAAUUUUAUCUUUAUCAGUGUGAGAUGGACAAGAGACGAUUACAUCACUGACAUCA